UAAAUUCAAACUUUGUUCAUAUAUAUAAAUACUUGCGGUCAAGAAGAUUGUUCAACGCCUUAGGUAAAGUUUUCUCUCCAUUUUCUUUAUCGUUCCUCUUCUUUUCGUUUUAUCAUUAUGGGUAAAAAAAACUCACCAGAUCAAAAUCUAGGGUUGAGGGACCUGUGUUAGAAAAUUUCACUGACUUAGGUAUAUUGCCUCGAGAUGAAAGUGAAAGUUGUGCUUUCUUGAACUCUGAUAUCAAGUUACUUCGAUCAUACGAAAAUUUUCCUUUUGACAGUCUUAAGGGAUUUCGACACUAGGUUGAAGCCUGGUUUCAUAUCUCUUUAUUUGGGUUUGUUUUUAUGAUUUUCCGUUUUCUAUUUGGAUUUCAUUCCCCUUUCUUCCUUUGAUUUCUAUGUUUUUUGAGGUUCCCCAAUUUUCUUGUGCCCAAAUCAUGCCCAUGGUUUGACAUAUUUUGUUCUGGGUUGUCUUCCUUAAUGAAUCUGAAAACCUAGAUCUUGGUUUGUCCGGGAUUGCUAGUAUCUAUGACUUCCACAACUUUGGUUCUUAUCGUAUUAUCUUCAAGAUCAAACCUGGAAAAAUCCAUUUGAUCCUUAAGACUUCCUUUCACGAUGUCGGAUGGAAGAGAAAGUAUUUUUUUCAUCAACAAACAGUCUCUUGCAGGUUUCUUGCUAAGUGAUUGGGUUACUACGGGUAAGAUUCUUAUUUCUACAGUUUAUUGUAUUAUUUUUAUUUAAAAGUCGACUCUUGUUUUUUGAUUUAUCUUGAAUAGUACCGCAGUUUGAGAAACUAUUUCCUCCCAAGGAAGACACUAAGGAAAAAGGUUAAAAGUUUAAUGGCAAUUCUUGCAGAGAAUAGGGUUUUCAAAGUCAUCUUGGAGUGUUCUUAGGAUAAGGAUCUUAACAUAUCUUUGGUUAUUAGAGAUCUAGAGCCCAUCAACAGUCUACUGGUAUGUUAACUUGUUCCUUUCUUACUUUUUGAUUUGUUUUUGAUGUAAUUUUCUUCUUCUUCAGGUUUCAUGCUUACUUGACCAGGUUUGUCAUUCUCUUAUUUCAAUGUCGAGGGCUUUCUUUCUAGAGGGAAAGCCUACAAGUCCUAAUCCCAAGAAGAGGAAGCUUACUUUGGAACUUGGGCAAUAAGUUUUUGACGGUUUAGGCCCUUUUGAAAUUAAGUUGAAGUUAAUUACUCUUACUCAAACUAUAAGUUAUACUUAUCUUCAUUGUGUAAUGUCCCAAAAACCAUAAUAAAAUUUCUCAUUUUACUUUGUAUCAUAGUAUGUAUCCUUGUGUGUAGGAUGUUGAUAUGUUGUAGUAAUUUGUUAGAUUGGUAGAUCUAUUAUGAUUACCUGUAUUGUUGGUUAUUGUUUGUUUGUUUGUUUGUAUAUGUCGAC
RNAcentral lists this long non-coding RNA (1393 nucleotides) under Lactuca sativa (garden lettuce). Its description in RNAcentral is "long non-coding RNA (LSAT_LNC009793)". Lineage: Eukaryota; Viridiplantae; Streptophyta; Magnoliopsida; Asterales; Asteraceae. The record is from RNAcentral.